UGAGCAACCUGCCCUUGACUCUGGAAUAACAGCUGGAAACAGCUGCUAAUACCGGAUACGACCUCCGAUGGCAUCAUCUGGAGGUGGAAAGCUCCGACGGUCAAGGAUGGGCUCGCGGCCUAUCAGCUUGUUGGUGAGGUAACGGCUCACCAAGGCUUCGACGGGUAGCCGGCCUGAGAGGGCGACCGGCCACACUGGGACUGAGAUACGGCCCAGACCUCUACGGGAG
RNAcentral lists this ribosomal RNA (229 nucleotides) under uncultured bacterium. RNAcentral's name for it is "partial 16S ribosomal RNA". It matches the Rfam family "Bacterial small subunit ribosomal RNA", at positions 118 to 347 of the family's 1533-position model. The record is from RNAcentral.